Molecule: ribosomal RNA, 251 nt
Filed under: Stenancylus sp. COR01
Lineage: Eukaryota; Metazoa; Arthropoda; Insecta; Coleoptera; Curculionidae
Description: partial 28S ribosomal RNA
Rfam family: Eukaryotic large subunit ribosomal RNA
Source: RNAcentral
GACCCGUCUUGAAACACGGACCAAGAAGUCUAGCUUGUGCGCGAGUCAAUGGGUGUGUAAACCCAGAGGCGAAAUGAAAGUAAAGGUUGCGGACGUGCACAUAGCUGGGACCCGAAAGAUGGUGAACUAUGCCUGAGCAGGAUGAAGCCAGAGGAAACUCUGGUGGAAGUCCGAAGCGGUUCUGACGUGCAAAUCGAUCGUCUGACUUGGGUAUAGGGGCGAAAGACUAAUCGAACCAUCUAGUAGCUGGU